This 497-nucleotide ribosomal RNA is filed under the name uncultured bacterium. RNAcentral's name for it is "partial 16S ribosomal RNA". It matches the Rfam family "Bacterial small subunit ribosomal RNA", at positions 28 to 507 of the family's 1533-position model. The record is from RNAcentral.
GAUGAACGCUGGCGGCGUGCCUAAUACAUGCAAGUCGAGCGAACGGACGAGAAGCUUGCUUCUCUGAUGUUAGCGGCGGACGGGUGAGUAACACGUGGAUAACCUACCUAUAAGACUGGGAUAACUUCGGGAAACCGGAGCUAAUACCGGAUAAUAUUUUGAACCGCAUGGUUCAAAAGUGAAGGACGGUCUUGCUGUCACUUAUAGAUGGAUCCGCGCUGCAUUAGCUAGUUGGUAAGGUAACGGCUUACCAAGGCAACGAUGCAUAGCCGACCUGAGAGGGUGAUCGGCCACACUGGAACUGAGACAGGGUCCAGACUCCUACGGGAGGCAGCAGUAGGGAAUCGUCCGCAAUGGGCGAAAGCCUGACGGAGCAGCGGCGCGUGAGUGAUGAAGGUCUUCGGAUCGGAGAACUCUGUUAUUAGGGAAGAACAUAUGUGUAAGUAACUGUGCACAUCUUGACGGUACCUAAUCAGAAAGCCACGGCUAACUACGUG